RNAcentral lists this ribosomal RNA (491 nucleotides) under uncultured bacterium. RNAcentral's name for it is "partial 16S ribosomal RNA". It matches the Rfam family "Bacterial small subunit ribosomal RNA", at positions 28 to 507 of the family's 1533-position model. The record is from RNAcentral.
GAUGAACGCUAGCUACAGGCUUAACACAUGCAAGUCGAGGGGAAACGAUGAGAGAGCUUGCUCUCUUAGUCGUCGACCGGCGCACGGGUGAGUAACGCGUAUCCAACCUGCCUCUGACCAAGGGAUAACCCGUCGAAAGUCGGACUAAUACCUUAUGCAGUCGUCGGAAGUCAUCUGAUGACGACGAAAGAUUUCAUCGGUGAGAGAUGGGGAUGCGUCUGAUUAGCUUGUUGGCGGGGUAACGGCCCACCAAGGCGACGAUCAGUAGGGGUUCUGAGAGGAAGGUCCCCCACAUUGGAACUGAGGCACGGUCCAAACUCCUACGGGAGGCAGCAGUGAGGAAUAUUGGUCAAUGGGCGUAAGCCUGAACCAGCCAAGUAGCGUGCAGGAUGACGGCCCUAUGGGUUGUAAACUGCUUUUAUGCGGGGAUAAAGUGAGGGACGUGUCCUUCAUUGCAGGUACCGCAUGAAUAAGGACCGGCUAAUUCCGUG